AGAAAGGGCGGGGAAGGAAAUGAUCACAUCGGCGAUGGGAUCGUUCACGUUCUCUGCACGACAUGUCAAAUUGGAUCGUGCACUCUUUAUCUAUGCGUGCACAUAGAUAAAGACGAGUGCAAGAUCGUGCAGAUAAUAGAAGUAAAGGAACUCUUUAUUUCAUGUUGCUGCAAAUUCUGGUGUAAUCAGAAGAAAAGUGUAGAGUGAUCAUCAAAUACAGUGAAUAGAAUACCACAGUACGUGCAAAUGUUGAAGAAAGCCCAACCACAUCAAUUCCGCAUAGAGUUCAGCUUUCCACAACCACAUGCAUCGAAUUUUAACAAAAGAUUUGAAGCUUCAUGCGUACAACGUUGAAAUGGCUCAACAGCUAAAGCCGGAAUACCAUGGGCAACGAAAAGCAUUUGUUGGUUGGAUUUUGGAACGACAAUUGGAUGGUGAUUUUUGAACGAAAAUAAUCUUUAGUGACGAUUUUCAUCUUAAUGGCCUCGUUAUCCGACAAAAUUGUCGCAUUUGGGAUUCCGCAAAUCUACGAGUGAUUGUUCAGAAACAGAUGCAUCCAAAAAGAGUCACUGUUUGGUAUGUAUUGUGGGCAGGAGGCAUCAUUGGCCCAUUUUUCUUCACUUCAAAAUACUUUCAUGUGCAACCUUGUACAAAUAGAAUUACAAAAAUAUUGUAAGCAACCUGGGAAAACGGAGCAACCACGGCGAGAGCGGCAACACUGGUAGGCGGGACACACCCAGGACGGGAGUGGCAACAUCGGGGCUACUUCAGGGCUGGGACAGAAGACGGCACGGCUGUCUGGGGGAAAAUUUUGUGGGAAAAACAACUGGUGGCGUUGCCAAGGGUUUAUUUAUUAUUGAUUUGGCUGUGGACGGUGAAAGGCGUUCAUUAAAAUUAUUGAAUUUUG
Molecule: long non-coding RNA, 907 nt
Organism: Dendroctonus ponderosae (mountain pine beetle)
Lineage: Eukaryota; Metazoa; Arthropoda; Insecta; Coleoptera; Curculionidae
Exons: 2
Source: RefSeq, a predicted model, not a curated record